RNAcentral lists this ribosomal RNA (344 nucleotides) under uncultured soil bacterium. RNAcentral's name for it is "bacterial SSU rRNA". It matches the Rfam family "Bacterial small subunit ribosomal RNA", at positions 26 to 373 of the family's 1533-position model. The record is from RNAcentral.
AGGACGAACGCUGGCGGCGUGCUUAACACAUGCAAGUCGAGCGGAAAGGCCUUUCGGGGUACUCGAGCGGCGAACGGGUGAGUAACACGUGAGUAAUCUGCCCAUCGCUUCAGGAUAGCCAUCGGAAACGGUGAUUAAUACUGGAUAUGACAUUCCUCCGCAUGUUGGGGUGUGGAAAGUUUUUUCGGCGGUGGAUGUGCUCGCGGCCUAUCAGCUUGUUGGUGGGGUAAUGGCCUACCAAGGCUUUGACGGGUAGCCGGCCUGGAGAGGGUGACCGGCCACACUGGGACUGAGACACGGCCCAGACUCCUACGGGAGGCAGCAGUGGGGAAUAUUGGACAAGU